GUGAAAGUAGCUCAGAUGGUUAGAGCACUGGAUUGUGGAUCCAGGGGUCGGGGGUUCGAGUCCCCUCUUUCACCC
RNAcentral lists this transfer RNA (75 nucleotides) under subsurface metagenome. RNAcentral describes it as "tRNA-His". It matches the Rfam family "tRNA". Rfam says of the family: Transfer RNA (tRNA) molecules are approximately 80 nucleotides in length. Their secondary structure includes four short double-helical elements and three loops (D, anti-codon, and T loops). Further hydrogen bonds mediate the characteristic L-shaped molecular structure. tRNAs have two regions of fundamental functional importance: the anti-codon, which is responsible for specific mRNA codon recognition, and the 3' end, to which the tRNAs corresponding amino acid is attached (by aminoacyl-tRNA synthetases). tRNAs cope with the degeneracy of the genetic code in two manners: having more than one tRNA (with a specific anti-codon) for a particular amino acid; and 'wobble' base-pairing, i.e. permitting non-standard base-pairing at the 3rd anti-codon position. The record is from RNAcentral.